CUUGUGGGAACGAGGACUCUGCCGCCAAACCGCCCACAAACGUCCAAACCACGGUCCCUUAUUGUGUCCACGGUUCUUGUCUCACAUGACCGCCCGCCCCGAGGACCUCAGGCCUCCUUGUGUCCCGAGCUCCGGGUCCAGACCGCUGCCCCCCCCUCGGGAGAAGACGGCGGUAACGCACGCCCUCGCUGCACCGAAGACACAAACGCUGGACGGUUUCUUCCGUCUCCAUCCAGACGGGAGAAGGAAAAGUGCGCCGAUGGCGGGAAGGCGCUCUGCUGCUGUUGUUGUUCCCUGUCCUCCACCCUCCGCUGCCCCACCGCCACGCACCGCCAACCCAACACCGCCCCGCCAAAACUCCCCGCACGGCGACUUCGAGAGGCGGCGAAGAAGCCGGUCGGCAUCUCCCUGCGACGAGCCACCUGCCCCGGGGGGGGGCGUUGAAGUCCGUGAGACGGCUCCGCGACCCGCCGCCGCGUCCCCCCACCCGGGCUGCCGGCUGCCUGCGGAGCCGAAUGGAUCGGAAGCGCCACCGCCGCCGGCGGCCUCCUCCUCCUCCUCCAUCUCACACGGGUCGCUCUCAGAUUUCAGCCGCCCACCGUCCAGCCGGUUCAGCCGCAGCACCGACCUCGCCAGCGGCCGGAGCAGCGUCCUGUCCGGCGCAGAUCUCGGAGACUCGGAGCCAGGAGGCGGCGUUUGCUCCUCACCGCUCCAGCCUCGCCCGGUGACGGGGUCACCCUCGGCUCCUCGCCCUCCGCCGGCAUCCCACCCUCGCCAACCAUCCGCCGAUGCUUCGGCCACCCCUCUCCUCUACGAACCGCUAUUUGGGCAAACCCGACCCCUCUCGCCGCCGUCGACGUCAGGUGGGCUUCGUCAAUCAGAUAACCCUCCGAGCAGGAGCGAAAGCCCCGAUGCGACAAAGUAUCUCCAACCAGUUCCAUCAGAAGCUCCUGGUCCCCACCCAUCCAUGGCCUCCGACCGCGGCCUCGUCGGCCUGGCUUUCCCCUCCGCCACCUGGUCCUCCUGCCCGAGUCCGCAGAGGACCACUCCCCGCUCCUCGGGGUCAGGACCGGCUCCGACCCCUCCUGCGUCGGCGCCCCGUCUGGAGUCUCGUCGCUGGUCCCCGCUGCCUCCCAUCUCCCCUGUCGGAGGACGCUGUGGCACCGCAGCAUCCCGCUACUCCGAGCUCAGCUGCACUCAGUCCCGCGCGUUCGAUGAGCUGGAGGCCAUCGCCCCUCGCUCGCUGUCCUCCCCGUCUCUGGACCGGCUGUCGGACUCCUCCGGGUGCCCUUCACCUGACACAGAGCUGUCUCCGGGCCUGGCGGCGCUGACGGUGGGCUGUGACUCCGGGACCCUGGGCUCUCUGUCCCGGGUGCAGCUGCUCCUCCUGGACCGGCCGCAGCCCGACACCCGGCCGGGUCUGUUCGGCCCGGAAGAGGAGCUCUCGCCGGUGCAAGACUGGCCUCGUCUCGCGAUGCAACAUGAAGGUACCGUGCACAAAUAGACGUUUGAAUGAAAGAGAAGUCCCACAGCAUCAAAUCAAGCAACAGAUUUCACCGAAACACAAUUAAACCCGUUGAAUGGGGCUCCGACAUCCCGACCCGCACACUCCGCUCUGCAUCUCCCUCGCUGAGAGCAAAACACUCCACCAGAUCACGACUCUCCUGAAUGGUGCAACGAGCUCUCAGAAGACACCAGGACCUGCUGAGGGCCUUCACAUCUUCAGACUAGACUCUUUGGGGUUUGCAUCCUUAUGGUUGAAAUGCACUCAUUAACCAAUGUCGGUCUCCUGAGCAAAACGGGAGACUCCAAAUGAAUUGAAAGGAAGUGCCUUUUUUUAAGCUUCUUAAUUUUGUCUAAAAUGAUCGAAAGUGUCGGUAUCCGUGGUCACGUGAAGUGAUUAUUCUGUGUUUCCUCAAGGCUAGCGUCAGUUCACUGAGCCUCCUGCUCUGACAAAUCUUUUUGACAGCUCAAUUGAGAUAAGCAAAUACCGUCAUUUUAACCGGCAGCAGGUGUCUGUGUAUGUGUGUGUGUGUGUGUGU
Molecule: long non-coding RNA, 2042 nt
Organism: Gasterosteus aculeatus aculeatus (three-spined stickleback)
Lineage: Eukaryota; Metazoa; Chordata; Actinopteri; Perciformes; Gasterosteidae
Source: Ensembl